GCCGCGGUAAUUCCAGCUCCAAUAGCGUAUAUUAACGUUGUUGCAGUUAAAAAGCUCGUAGUUGAAGUGAGGGAGUGUGUGGGUAUGAGAGAUAGUCUCAAGUACUUACAACCUCCACCUUCCAAUCGGUGUAGUGGGGUAUUCAGUUAUUCUACUACUCCUUUGGUCGUUUACUGUGAGAAAAUUAGAGUGUUCAAAGCGGGCGGUUGUUUGUAUAGAUUAGCAUGGAAUAAUGAUUGAAGGCUUUAGUGUUGGAUUUGAUUGAUUUGUUCAUGGAAGCAAUGUUAAAAGGAACAGUUGGGGGUAUUCAUAUUCACUAGUUAGAGGUGAAAUUCUCGGAUUUAUGGAAGAUGAACAGGUGCGAAAGCAUUUACCAAGGAUUUCUUCAUUAAUCAAGAACGAAGG
This 405-nucleotide ribosomal RNA is filed under the name Blastocystis sp. RNAcentral describes it as "SSU rRNA". It matches the Rfam family "Eukaryotic small subunit ribosomal RNA", at positions 573 to 989 of the family's 1831-position model. The record is from RNAcentral. Lineage: Eukaryota; Bigyra; Opalinata; Blastocystidae.